GGUGCAGAGCCCACAAUUAGGUGGAUCUUCCUGCAACACUUUACGUAGCCAGGACACCUACCCCACCCAUACUCAAGGUCCCUUCUCCCAGACGAUUCCAGAUUCUGUCAAGUUGACCAUCUUCAUACUUUUUGAUAGAAAGAAAACAUCCACGUCCUUCAUUUGAUUGGACAAAACAAUUCACAUAGACCCACCUCUUCUGCCUGGGUAGGUCCUGCUCCCAGAAGAUGACUCUGAGACUAAUGAUUUAUUAAUAAAUGACUUGGCUACAAGCCUCAACUCAU
Molecule: long non-coding RNA, 284 nt
Filed under: Rattus norvegicus (Norway rat)
Lineage: Eukaryota; Metazoa; Chordata; Mammalia; Rodentia; Muridae
Description: long non-coding RNA NONRATT017474
Source: RNAcentral